CAUGCAAGAAUAUCUCUCUCUUGAGAGCCUAUUCUCUGGACAGCCAGCCUGCCUGCCUGCCUUCUUAUUUGAGUACAUACUUUAAAAGGCUUAGUCCUUUUAACCCUCCAGAGAUCUAUAAUAUUGAAAUUAUUAAGCUUGUAUCAUGCUGCAUACAAUUAGCACCUCCUGCCAAGAGAGUGAAGUCACUUCUGAAGAACUGACUAGAUGGGGUGAAAAUAGCCACAACUGCCAGUGGGAACCUCGAAAAGCUGAAUUGCAGAAACAAUGUGUUGUAAAGCAAGUAACUGCUUGAAAGGAUGGAAUUUUUCACCUUCAUCUCAAUUGCCUUUUCCUCCUCAUUGAAUUUCUAUAUUUUAUCUGCUGUUUCAAUAAUCCAGUUUCUUUAGCUGUCAUUUAGGAACAAAGUACCAUACAAUACUGCUUAAAUCUAUUUUGUCUCUAGUGAUGAAGGAACCUAUAAUUAAUGGUUGCUCUUCUUAAGACUGUAAAAGACAUCAAACGAAAUUCACAUCCCCUACAAUAUUCUCAAUUUUUUGUGUCUUGGACAUCUGGCAGUAUGGUACAAGCUAGAGACCCCUUUUCUGAAUGUUUUUAAAUAUAUAUAAAAUAAAGGAUUACAAAAGGAAA
Long non-coding RNA from Sarcophilus harrisii (Tasmanian devil), 630 nucleotides. RefSeq lists it as uncharacterized. NCBI's taxonomy places the organism in Eukaryota, Metazoa, Chordata, Mammalia, Dasyuromorphia, Dasyuridae. The transcript is spliced from 2 exons. The record is from RefSeq and is a predicted model, not a curated record.